CCUACGGGUGGCAGCAGUGAGGAAUAUUGGUCAAUGGACGAGAGUCUGAACCAGCCAAGUAGCGUGAAGGAUGACUGCCCUAUGGAUUGUAAACUUCUUUUAUAUGGGAAUAAAACGUUCCACGAGUGGGAUUUUGUAUGUACCAUAUGAAUAAGGAUCGGCUAACUCCGUUCCAGCAGCCGCGGUAAUACGGAGGAUACGAGCGUUAUCCGGAUGUAUUGGGUUUAAAGGGAGCGUAGGUGGAUUGUUAAGUCAGUUGUGAAAGUGUGCGGCUCAACCGUAAAAGUGCAGUUGAAACUGGGAGUCUUGAGUACAGUAGAGGUGGGCGGAAUUCGUGGGGUAGCGGUGAAAUGCUUAGAUAUCACGAAGAACUCCGAUUGCGAAGGCAGGUCACUGGACUGCAACUGACACUGAGGCUCGAAAGUGUGGGUAUCAAACAGGAUUAGAUACCCGUGUAGUC
This 460-nucleotide ribosomal RNA is filed under the name uncultured bacterium. Its description in RNAcentral is "partial 16S ribosomal RNA". It matches the Rfam family "Bacterial small subunit ribosomal RNA", at positions 338 to 795 of the family's 1533-position model. The record is from RNAcentral.